This 4458-nucleotide unclassified non-coding RNA is filed under the name Ixodes scapularis (black-legged tick). RNAcentral's name for it is "uncharacterized LOC121047882, transcript variant X2". The record is from RNAcentral. Lineage: Eukaryota; Metazoa; Arthropoda; Arachnida; Ixodida; Ixodidae.
GACCGGUAUGGUGCUGUAACGACGAGACAGACUCGCAGCGCUUACGCAAGGGUGACCAAAUACCAGUGAGCGAUUCGUCGGACCAAGCGCCUGUUGGCCCGUGAACGUGGGCUGCGGACGCGAUGCCGCGACCGUGCGAGGUGAAGGGCUGCGAAGCUUCGUGUCUUUCGCGCAGGGUGACGCACCGGCUGCCUUCGAAAGAGCCGUACCGGACACUUUGGCUCCAGGCGAUCGGACGCACCGAGGAGGGCCUGAGCAAGACCGCUUCCAUCUGCUCGGACCAUUUCGAGCCGAGUUCGUACGCCGUCAAGUGCAACCGUGGCGCCCGUCUCAAGUACGACGCCGUGCCCACCCUUUUCCUAACCGAGGCCGAGACUGUUCAGCGAGCUGCCGAACUCAACUCUCGACAGAUAGCGCCGUCGACCAAUAAACUCCGACCGCUGGCAAUGAAGCCGAGCGAACUGAUCUUUCGGCCGACUACCCAUAAACUUCAACCGCUGGCAAUGAGACCUACCGGAGCGCCCAACGCCGUGGUGCCCGCCGAACUGGUGCCAAUCACGCUGGUGCCUAGCGUGGCCGUCAGAGUGGUGCGCGCGAUACCUGCGAACUUAUUGGUGCUACCUGCGACGCCCGCCAAUCCGGAACGCCUUCAGAAACAGCCGAUUCCCUGUAUCACAAAGCCGGUUCCUCGUGUCACGAAGCGGGUUCCUCGUAUCAAAGAUCACUUUGAAAUGAUGAAGAAGAAAAUCGGCUGGAAACUGAAGCUAAACAGAAAAAGCGAAUACAGCCAGAUUACCAGCAGUACAACUGAGUAUCCCGAGGAGCCAAGGCAUGAUCCACAGGGUGCAGUGCCCACAUUGACAACAGCACUAAACGAGAACCAGUCCAGUGCAUACGAGACGAAUAUGGCAGAAAAAGAAACGGAAUGCCCAACCAUCGAGACCAGUCGCGUGCAGAUUACCCCUUGCAUUGAAACUCAUGCUACUGUUACAAGACAAACCGAGGGUCAAGAGCAUUCAAAAAACGACAGUUCACCAAAAGCAUUGCCAGUUUCUUCCAAGCACAAGAAAGGCGGUCGAUCCAAAACGCGGAAGAGAAGAGCCGAUUUCGUGGACGAUUCGGCGUCUGAUACAAAUCUUGAUGACGACACAUCUGAAGAUGACCUCCCAAGCCCCUCAUCCAAGUGGAUCACGAAAAAUGACUGCUUCCUUGCCCGGUGCCUGGGAAAGUCAAAAGCUUGCAAAUCGGACUAUGACUGGAUUCAAAAGCAGUUUGCCGAGAUCCAGGAGGAAACGUCAAGACUCAAAAACUCGACAAGUAUAAGAGAUCAUCGCUCUCUGCACUGACAGAAGACUCUAGAUUUUACCGGAAGCUGCAUAGGCAGUUAGAACUCUUUUAAAACAGACAACUGUUUUACAGUGAUGUCACAUUAAUAUUGGAACCUCCGUUCACCUAAAAAAGUGUCCAUAAUGUGUUGUUCAUGAUACUAAGACAAAAAUGUGUGUAAUUACCUGGUUUGUCCCAAAAAUACUUACUAUAUAGCUGGGUAUUCAUAAUAACGGUAUCCAUAUUAAUGAGACAUCGCUGCAAGUAAUGCAUGCAAAAUAACUGCUUUUACCCUAGGAGAUGCUUUUUUGGCAAAUUUCUAUGUAAUACAUAUGAAUAGGCUUCUUGUUACUAUCCAGUCAUAAUGUUGUGUCUGGCAGACCACUGUGGAGACUUGGUUUAUGUAUUUUACUGCGAGGCACUUCAUGUGGUUUAUGGUAUAAUUUCUUUGAUAUAACCGUAAAAUACCGAGCAUGUGCCAUGUUCCCAUAGGUGCCCACCCACUACUUUUAAAAGUUUGAAAACUAAGCAAAGGGCAUGUCAACCACCCACCCCAGUCUUCCGGGCCCUCCUAGCAAUCAGGAAAACUCGUCAGCAGCCUCUCCAAGCACUUUGUUGCAGAGUGGUGAAGCAGACUCUAUGUGCCCUUCUGCAUUUUUAUUCUUAAACCUAACAGUGCCUAUCCCCCACUUCUCAAGAUUAUCUCCAAUUUUGGGUAAGUGCUUGCUCAGUAUUUUAUGGUAAGUCAUUUUGCUGCUUGUUUAUGAAGGUAACCGGACAAAAGCUCACCGGACAGAAGCUCACCUGUUUUUUCACAGACCUGGACAAAACCUCACCUCUUUUUCUCUUUUUUGCUACGCGGGCAAAACAUGGGCUGGGAUAAAAUGCGGACGCGAUGGACAUUGCACCAUUUUCAGGAGAACUGGCAUCCCAUCCCAUGGAAAGGUGUCGACAGAUAAGCCAUAACAGGCAGAGAAGCAAAGAUUAGGGACCAAAAUUUAGGUUACUGAAACUGAGUGGAGCUAAGAUAAAGCUUGCUUGACUCAAGGUAAACCGAAGCACCCUUGUGCCACGCCCAAGAAACUUUGUGAACCAAAACUUUUGAACCCGAAGAGUGACCGAAGAAGCGUUCGGUGGCCUCCUUGGGGUUCAGGGUAACAUUUGAAGUGAAUGGCUAGGAAAAUUAAAUUCUUUCCAUCAUUGAGUGUCAUAAAUGUAUUUAAAAUCAAGGGUUAUCUCAGGGUGAUGUGAAAGGGAAACAAGCAAAACUGUAAUAUAUAAACUAUCGAGUUGCGAUUUGUUUUAUAUCUUGAAGGAACGGGAUUUGGGCCCUUUGGGCAAGUGCAAGACAGAUGAUCAAUUUAGGAAGCUGUGCGGGAUUUUGGUUAGGCUGGCGUUCCUUCCACCACAGCUUGUGCCCGAAAGACUAACCUACAUCAGGAAAAAGUCUACAGGCGACAUCGGCGACCUGCUGGACUACUUUGAUUGCACGUAUGUCAACGGCCCCUUCCGUUAUGCUUGUGCUCCUUCUGUGGCGGCACCCAGAGCGAACUCUUCCCUUUGCCCGACUGUGUGCUGACGAUGACUGGAGUUUCCCCCAGAACUGUGGAAUAUGUACGACGCCACUCUUCAAGAUAAAGACCGGACGAACAACACCUUCAAAGGAUAGAAUACCGGGACCCAGAAGUUUGCCGGCCACGUCUAUCCAAGCGUCUGGGGGCUGAUUGAAUGCCUACAGGAAAAUCAGGCGCUCGUUUCCACAGCAUUGACACAAGCCCGGAGAGGUGAACCCCCAGAGAAGCGGGUGCGAAAAACCACUCUGCACCUGCACAAUCGUCUGAAAAAUAUUUUCGAGGGGUUCCGGGUACACCCAGAUCUACCAAGACUGCUGGAGCUAGUAAGGGACUGCAUUCGCUUCUAAUCAAUCGAUAAAUCAACUUGUUUCUACUCUAAUCAGCAAACUAUAUGUGCCUGUCAGAUUUAAUUUAUCGUUACAUUUUAGUGUUGCACGCAUGCACCUAAGUUGUCCGCCCUCGUGUUAAGAUUAACAUGAAAGUUUCUCCUGGUGAGCUUUUGUCCGGGUCUGUGAAAAAAUGGGCGAGCUUUUUUCUGUGCUGCGAGUUUUUUCCGGGAUUUGUUUAUGAAGAGGUUUUGACUUCAGGCCAAGGCAAGGCAAAUCUUGUGAAGAGUUCAGCAUGACAUCAUACAAACGGAAAGCCACUAUGCAUGAAAGGAGAGCAAAAGUGUCUUCAUGGGUGAAUGUCAGCAUAAGCAUGCCUCGAAAAUGUCAAACUUUUAUUCAUUGCCCACCUGUAAAAUUUUGAACACUGCCAUUUGUGGACCAGUAUUGUUGCCAUCAUGGCUUUUUAAUUAUUUUUUCUCUAAGGCAGUCUUUUUACUUAACUUGUAUGGGGAUAGUUGAGCAAAGACUAAGUUUUAAAUAUAGUAGGUUAGUGGAAUUUGUGCAUAUUUGCCAUUUUAUACGAAAGUCAGCUAUACAAAAUUACAACAUUUUCAGAAGUUAUUUUCAGUUAACACAAGCUUGCUAGUUCUGUAGACCUAGCAACAUGCUGUACCAUGAUAAAGCUUUGUGUUACCCCAAGACAUGGCAUCCAAGUGUGGGACUAUAAUAAGUAAUAACGCUCAAAUGGAUCAUAUCCACAGAUUUAUUCUAAUCAGCUUUUGGUUCAUGCAAAAGCCACCAAAAAUAGAUGCUGCAUGCUGAUAAACUUAUAGUUUUGACCCUUAUCCUAAGGAUUAAGUAACAAUUUACACCAAGCAUAACUUAACUUCAGUAAGAAGGGUUUGAAACACUGCUUCAAUGAGUAGUUCAUACGGCAAAUCAAACAACCUAAACUUGCCAAAUAUUGUCUACCAUAUUUGACCCGAGAAUAGAAACAAAAUAAAAAAAUCAACAAGCACACAAUUUAUUUAUGUGUGUGUGUGCUUUGUCCAUUUUUUUUUAUAUUAGUUCCUAAUCCUGGGUGAAUAAUGGAAGUCGUGCAGCAGCUGGCCUGUGUUUUUAUCCUUUCCUCAUUGAAUAUUCUGCUUGUUUUCUCGACUUCUGAGCCCAUGCCGGCAAGUUCAUUUCUAGGUACAAAAUUGUAAAUAAAUAUUUACUUGUCACUUUCA